Molecule: ribosomal RNA, 305 nt
Filed under: uncultured bacterium
Lineage: Bacteria
Description: bacterial SSU rRNA
Rfam family: Bacterial small subunit ribosomal RNA
Source: RNAcentral
ACCUACGGGGCGCAGCAGUUAGGAAUAUUGGGCAAUGGAGGAAACUCUGACCCAGCAACGCCGCGUGAAGGAAGAAGGUUUUCGGACUGUAAACUUCUGAUCUGAGGGAAAAAGAAAGUGAUGGUACCUCAGGAGAAAGCCACGGCUAACUACGUGCCAGCAGCCGCGGUAAUACGUAGGUGGCGAGCGUUGUCCGGAAUGACUGGGCGUAAAGGGAGCGUAGGUUGCAAUUUAAGUUAGGUGUGAAAGCCCGUGGCUCAACCACGGAAGUGCAUCUAACACUGGAUAGCUAGAGUACAGGAGGG